This 192-nucleotide ribosomal RNA is filed under the name uncultured bacterium. RNAcentral's name for it is "partial 16S ribosomal RNA". It matches the Rfam family "Bacterial small subunit ribosomal RNA", at positions 338 to 521 of the family's 1533-position model. The record is from RNAcentral.
CCUACGGGGGGCAGCAGUCGAGAGGCUUCGGCAAUGGGGGAAACCCUGACCGAGCGACGCCGCGUGGACGAAGAAGUUUUUCGGAAUGUAAAGUCCUGUCAUACGGGAUGAAAAGCCGAUUGGUUAAUAGCCUUUUGGUCUGACAGUACCGUAAGAGGAAGCUCCGGCUAACUCCGUGCCAGCAGCCGCGGU